Molecule: ribosomal RNA, 253 nt
Filed under: uncultured bacterium
Lineage: Bacteria
Description: partial 16S ribosomal RNA
Rfam family: Bacterial small subunit ribosomal RNA
Source: RNAcentral
UACGUAGGGAGCAAGCGUUGUCCGGAUUUACUGGGUGUAAAGGGUGCGUAGGCGGCUUUGCAAGUCAGGAGUGAAAGCCCGGGGCCCAACCCCGGGACUGCUCUUGGAACUGCGUGGCUGGAGUGCAGGAGGGGCAGGCGGAAUUCCUGGUGUAGCGGUGAAAUGCGUAGAUAUCAGGAGGAACACCGGUGGCGAAGGCGGCCUGCUGGACUGCAACUGACGUUGAGGCCCGAAAGCGUGGGGAGCAAACAGG